RNAcentral lists this ribosomal RNA (425 nucleotides) under Cylindera delavayi. RNAcentral describes it as "partial 16S ribosomal RNA". The stretch from base 1 to 161 matches the Rfam family "Bacterial large subunit ribosomal RNA", at positions 1797 to 2021 of the family's 2925-position model. Lineage: Eukaryota; Metazoa; Arthropoda; Insecta; Coleoptera; Carabidae. The record is from RNAcentral.
CGCCUGUUUAACAAAAACAUGUCCUUUUGAAUAUAUUUAAGGUUUAGCCUGCCCAAUGAGGGUUUAAAUGGCCGCAGUAUUUUGACUGUGCAAAGGUAGCAUAAUUAUUAGUUUUUUAAUUAAAAGCUUGUAUGAAGGGUUGGACGAGAUAAAAUCUGUCUUUAUUUAAAUUAAAAUAGAAUUUAACUUUUAAGUCAAAAGGCUUAAAUUUAUAUAAAAGACGAGAAGACCCUAUAGAUCUUUAUUUAAUUAAUAUUUUAAUAAUUCAGGAUUAUUUUAGUUUAAAGUUUUAGUUAAAUUUUAUUGGGGUAAUAUAAAGAUUAAAAAAAUUCUUUUUAUUUAUUACAUUGAUUUAUGAAUAUAUGAUCCAGUAUUGCUGAUUAAAAGAUUAAGUUACCUUAGGGAUAACAGCGUAAUUUUUUUGG